GAUGAACGCUGGCGGCGUGCCUAAUACAUGCAAGUCGAGCGAACGGACGAGAAGCUUGCUUCUCUGAUGUUAGCGGCGGACGGGUGAGUAACACGUGGAUAACCUACCUAUAAGACUGGGAUAACUUCGGGAAACCGGAGCUAAUACCGGAUAAUAUUUUGAACCGCAUGGUUCAAAAGUGAAAGACGGUCUUGCUGUCACUUAUAGAUGGAUCCGCGCUGCAUUAGCUAGUUGGUAAGGUAACGGCUUACCAAGGCAACGAUGCAUAGCCGACCUGAGAGGGUGAUCGGCCACACUGGAACUGAGACACGGUCCAGACUCCUACGGGAGGCAGCAGUAGGGAUUCUUCCGCAAUGGGCGAAAGCCUGACGGAGCAGCGCCGAGUGAGUGAUGAAGGUCUUCGGAUCGUAAAACUCUGUUAUUAGUGAAGAACAUAUGUGUAAGUAACUGUGCACAUCUUGACGGUACCUAAUCAGAAAGCCACGGCUAACUACGUG
RNAcentral lists this ribosomal RNA (497 nucleotides) under uncultured bacterium. Its description in RNAcentral is "partial 16S ribosomal RNA". It matches the Rfam family "Bacterial small subunit ribosomal RNA", at positions 28 to 507 of the family's 1533-position model. The record is from RNAcentral.